Molecule: transfer RNA, 73 nt
Filed under: Camelus bactrianus (Bactrian camel)
Lineage: Eukaryota; Metazoa; Chordata; Mammalia; Artiodactyla; Camelidae
Also listed under: 2 other names
Rfam family: tRNA
About the family: Transfer RNA (tRNA) molecules are approximately 80 nucleotides in length. Their secondary structure includes four short double-helical elements and three loops (D, anti-codon, and T loops). Further hydrogen bonds mediate the characteristic L-shaped molecular structure. tRNAs have two regions of fundamental functional importance: the anti-codon, which is responsible for specific mRNA codon recognition, and the 3' end, to which the tRNAs corresponding amino acid is attached (by aminoacyl-tRNA synthetases). tRNAs cope with the degeneracy of the genetic code in two manners: having more than one tRNA (with a specific anti-codon) for a particular amino acid; and 'wobble' base-pairing, i.e. permitting non-standard base-pairing at the 3rd anti-codon position.
Source: Rfam by way of RNAcentral
GGGGGUGUAGCUCAGUGGUAGAGCACUAUGCUUAGCAUGCACGAGGUCCUGGGUUCAAUCCCCAGUACCUCCA